GAUGAACGCUGGCGGCGUGCUUAACACAUGCAAGUCGAACGGAAAGGCCCAAGCUUGCUUGGGUACUCGAGUGGCGAACGGGUGAGUAACACGUGGGUGAUUUGCCCUGCACUUCGGGAUAAGCCUGGGAAACUGGGUCUAAUACCGGAUAGGACGAUGGUUUGGAUGCCAUUGUGGAAAGUUUUUUCGGUGUGGGAUGAGCUCGCGGCCUAUCAGCUUGUUGGUGGGGUAAUGGCCUACCAAGGCGUCGACGGGUAGCCGGCCUGAGAGGGUGUACGGCCACAUUGGGACUGAGAUACGGCCCAGACUCCUACGGGAGGCAGCAGUGGGGAAUAUUGCACAAUGGGCGCAGGCCUGAUGCAGCGACGCCGCGUGGGGGAUGACGGCCUUCGGGUUGUAAACUCCUUUCGCUAGGGACGAAGCGUUUUUGUGACGGUACCUGGAGAAGAAGCACCGGCUAACUACGUG
RNAcentral lists this ribosomal RNA (468 nucleotides) under uncultured bacterium. RNAcentral's name for it is "partial 16S ribosomal RNA". It matches the Rfam family "Bacterial small subunit ribosomal RNA", at positions 28 to 507 of the family's 1533-position model. The record is from RNAcentral.